UACGCAGAAGCAAGGCUCCUUUUGAGAAGCAGAUCAGGAAAACUUACUGCAUUUCCUAACAGAAAAUGAGGAAGCCCUGGUGGUGAUGAUACUUCUGUCAGUCAUUGCUGGCUGGAUCCAGCUCUUCUACAAGCACUAAGUAGUCUGUGGCACCUGCUAGUGAAGACUUACUCUGGAGAGCUAGGAGGAAAGGAGCAUGUGUAUGUAUGUCUUCACUGGUUUUUCACCAAACUGACAUUGGCUUGGAGUUCAGAAUGAACACCUUCAUGCUGUGAAGAUAGUCUGGAAGUCCUGUCAUGUUGCAGAAUUGAAAACAACAUCCAAAGAUGCAUAACAGUAGAAUGUAGAAGAAGGAAAAGUAAAAGGCUGUAAGAUGGAUUGAUUUGCUGCCAUUGUUUUACUUUUACAUCUAUGCUGUGCAUUCAAGGAGGUUCCUUGCUGAAUGGCCAUAUCCUCAAAACAUUGUUCUUCAAGAACCUUUGAGGAUGACAGCUAUCCGUUCAGCAUUAAUGGAAGCAACAUGCGCAGAGAUGCUUUUUUUUUGCCACUCUACAGUGUCUUACAGCCACAGAGUUGAAACCUCAAUGCUUACAUUGCUGGACUUCGCUGCAGCUUCAUCAGAGUGAAGUACAAGGUUGAUUCUACUUUUGAUGGCCUGUUUAUCUCUACCUGUAUGCUCAGGGAAAGACAGUCCUGCAUCACUUCGGAUUUGUGUUUUGUCAAAAUAGAAGCCCCCCAAAACAGCAGACCUGGAAAUAAAUGUUUCUGAGGUCUUAGCAGCAACUGGAUGGUCUGACUAUUCAACAGUUGUUAUCCGUUAUUGAAGACUACUGCAUGAAGGAACGGAAAUAAAAUGCUUCAUUCUGCACCCUGGGAAAAUUUUCAAGAAAACCUAACCUACGUUAUACACUAUGAAAAUUGAAAAUGGUCAAAAGUUUAAUGUUUUGAGCUGCUGGAAUUCCACUGAAACCUAAUCUUCAAGCUUGAAGCAAAGGGCUAAAGCAGAGCUGUUAUAUUUUGUUGUUACUAGGUCAGCACACAAGGAUGCCAUCAGUACUUAGGUAGCUGAAAACUGUGCUUUGCAAGGUUACCAAAUUUGCACACGGAGCUGGUCAGAGAAACAGGAGGAUACUGUUGGGAAGCACUUCAAAUUCAGCAGUGAUAUAGUGGUGUUAUUUGCAAGGUUAAGUAGAACUAUUAUUUAGCUAUUCUCUCUGCUUCCCUCAAUCCUCAGCAAAUUAGGUACAGCAAAUUUAGAUACUAAACCAGUUUAAAUUUUUAAAAUUUCAGUAAUCAUGAAAAUUGGGAACUGUUAGAUAUAUUUUUAUCAAAUGCAUGUGUUUAUACUCAUAAAAGCCUGCCAAUUUUAUAUUUAUGUUCUUAGACAAAUAUAUGUAAUGUGUUUGCAUUGAUAUCCUUGUACAUAGGCACUUUUGGGAUCUUAUUUGUUAUCCUAGUAAUAGGUAGAGCAGAACAACUUACAAAAGUCUUGCUGAAAGAAUAAGUAAUGGCACGAUCAGACACACUGGUUAUCAUCAUGCUCUGCAGCAUUGUGACAGUGGAAGGAGCAAUGUAUAUUACAUAGAAACAUAAUCUUGCCAAAGCUGAAUUAUAUAAAAGGUUUAAAGUGAUCUAAAGAAGGAAUGAAGAGGGCUGUGCUUUCCAAAGACAUUUGUUCAACAUUUUCUGACAUCAAUUGUCAUGACAAUAGGUGGCACCCUUAUGCCAAGAAAUACCAUCUUGUUUAGUUUAGCUAUGUUUCUCUGGAUAUUUUUCUACUGCCUUUUUUUUUUCUAAUUCCUUUAAUCAAAAUUAUUGGGAUUAAAAGCAAAAGCAAGUUAUCAAAACAGAUUAUUCAGUGGGAAUAUAGGGGACAUGCCUAGAAAAUUAAAAUAUAAACUCCAUUCUGAUUACACAGUAUAGCACGUCACAACUAUCACUACCGCUCUGUUGAGGAGGAAUCUGAGAAUUUAAAGUAUGAGCAUGUACUGAGUGAUGCAUACAAACUGUGUUAGUGUAUGCUUUAUAAUUGAUUAAUUUGACUCCUUUGGGAGUACUUAAAAAAGCAAGAGAAACAAGAUGUGUCCUGUUUUAUUUUUCCUGUUACACAAACACUUGGUUGCAUGGGGAUAUCCAGAUGAUCUGAAACUUACACCUGUGCAAAAUCAGAAAGGGAAUCUCAUAAGAACGAACCUCUCUCAGUAGAGUUUUUGUCACUUUUACUUCCAAUGUGAGGCAAAACCUGGAAAAAAUGUUAACCAAACUUUGUCAAACCACAAGCAUUUUGGCUUGCGGUUUGGAUAAAGGUUCAGGUCACUUCUCACUGUACCCUGAAAAGACCUUAUUCACUGCUCCUCUGCUGAGGUUGAAAGGAGAUAGGAAAAGGCAGAAGAGAGAAGAUUAAAAAUGCCUAAAUGCAUUGCAGAAUCAUGGAAGAACACCACUUAUUAGAAAGUGUGAAAAGACAUCAGUUUUUAUUGUAUAUUUAUGGAAUUGUGUAUAAGAAAAGAAGAGUUUUGCUAAGCAAAAAAUUUAUGUUUGUUUUUUUCAUGAAAAUAGGCUUUAAAGAUCUGAUGUAAUACUGGGGACAUAAAUUGUCUCAGGCCUGCAGAUGGCCCAUAAAAUUUGCAAAGCCUUGACCAUUUAUAAGCUGGAAUUAGAUCAGAAAAAGCUUCAGGAUUCAUUGAACUUUGCUAGUCUUGGCAAUGUCUCUGUUACACUUUUGCUGGCAUUCUGUUUCAUUCUGACAUUGCAAAAGUAUCGUCUUAUGGUGGUAAUGCAAAGUUGAAGGGGAAAAAGAAUUUUGAAAGAAUCAACAGAGCUAAUGAGGUACUAUUUUAAUUUAUGAGGCAUAGUUAACACAGCUGUUCUCUUAGGUAAAAUUUUGCUGAAGUAGUUAUGAUACUAUAGGCAAAAUUAAAAUUUCCAGUGUUCCAUGAAAUGUUGCUUAUUUAAACCUCUUCCUUUCCCUUUCAUCAUCUCAUACUGUUUUUUGUAGUUUUUUUGCAAAGGAAAAAACAUUGCAAAUUGUACAUUGGCAAAUUGUAUUUGGUGCCAAAAUGGGUAUGUUGAUUUCUGCUUAACAUUGCUCAUCUGCAGCAAUGAGUCUGGUUUUGGACAGGUGGUUACAGAGCCAGUAGGACCCAGAGGCUACUGCAAGUCAGUUAAGUCUAACACAUUGUGCUUAAAGUGUCUCCAUUUAACAUCAUUUACCAAACACUUUCAUAAGCUCAUCUUGGACUGACAAAUAUCCUAUUGCCACUGUUAAGUGUUUCUUGUAACAUUGUCAUAUUUUGCAGGGUUUUUUUUUUGUUUGUUUGUUUUUUUGGGGGGAGGUUGGAAAUACGAAUACUAAACUUCAUUAUAAAUUGUUUUAGGUUUUAAAAAAAAUCUGUAAAUUCUGUUUGUUAGAGCAUAAAAACAGCUUAAGGAUCUGCGUCUUUCCAACUGUUUCAUGUGUGUGAAUGUUCUUUCUGCAGAAGAUAUGCAUAUUUCCUGAUAGAAAUACGUGUAAUAGCUUUGAUCCUUUGGUAUGAUGCAUUUUAAAUAUUCUUUUCAUUAUCAGUGAGAAAGAAAAUAGAACUAGAUGGAAGGUCUUUGUCAGUGUUGCUGAUAAUACUCUAACAUAGCUUUGCCAAGAGAAAAGAUUUAUUUAUUUAUUUAUUUUUAACAGUGCUAUUAGAGUAGGCAGAAGUCAUUUCAUUGCAAUAGUUAUUGGUAUGUGGGGGGGGUUGCCAGUCCAAACCUCUUCCAUCGAAGCUGUCAUUUGGUAGAAAUACGUUGUGCUUUUUUAAUGGGAAAGUAAUUGAAAUGGAAAAAAUCAAUUGUCUUUUCAUCUUUCAUGAACUAACUUCUGAUAAAGUUUUUGAGAGCAUAAAAUGUUACUAAUCUGCAAUUUCUGAAAAAAAAAAAAAAGAAGAAAACAUACUCUGUCUAUUGAGGGAACGGUGUGAUGGGACUGUAUGGAAGACCCCUUUCCUAUUGUAUUUUUCUUUCAUGACUAGAGUCCUAUUUAUCUGCCAGUGAUUAUUUCCCCUUGUAUUUUGCAUAUACAAAUCAUUCAUAUCAGACAUAAACUGUCAGACAUCAGUGGUAAAAACUAAGCACCAACUCUGGGCCAGACACAAAACUAAGCACCAACUUUGUCUUUAAAUAACACUUUUCCUGAAGAAACUCUUUCUUCGUACUGAUGCAUGAUGAAAAGUGCAGACUUGGAAAAGUCAGUUGCUUUUGAGGGACCUUGCUUUGUAAUGAUUCAGAUAUAGGAUGAAAUGGUAGAUUUCUGUAUAGCUGCUUCUAUGAAGCUUGUUGUACUCAAUCUCCCAAAGUACGUGGGCAUCAAAACAGUCUACUCGGGAUAAGUUGCAUAAACAAUAUUUCAUAAAUGUUUUAGAAUUUCUAAAAUCAAGAUCCUGCCUACUCUAGUGCAUUCAGUAUUAUAAUUAGAAACUAUUAUGAUAUUCAACAUUAUAACUCUAUAUAUUAUAAUUAUAUUCAGUGUUACAAUUAUUUGGUGUUAGAAAUAAGAUAGUUCUAAAUACUACUUUCAACUUUGGUCUUGAUAGGAUGAAAUUUAGGACUUUCUAGAGCAUACUGCACUCUGGCAUUGGAGCUGACAUUGUCCUCUGUCAUCUUUGUAGUUUUUCUUUAAGAUAAAUUAUUCAUAUUUUUCACAUUGCAGUCAUGUUUGUGAUUAUUAUUUUUAUUAUUUUUGAAGUAAUUUCACAGUAAUUUUUACUGGUUACUUUCAGAAAAUUGUCCUAACUUAGAGUCUGAAGUCUAGGAGUUAAAAAUACUUACAAAAGUAAAUGCCAUGGUGUAUCAAGCAUGGGAAGAGCCCUUCUUCAUAAGAAAGAAAGAGCUUAUUUACAGCUCGUUUAUACGUGUACAGUGUAU
Anas platyrhynchos (mallard) is the source of this 4896-nucleotide non-coding RNA. The record is from RefSeq and is a predicted model, not a curated record. NCBI's taxonomy places the organism in Eukaryota, Metazoa, Chordata, Aves, Anseriformes, Anatidae.